UCGGGAAUUUUGGGCAAUGGGCGAAAGCCUGACCCAGCAACGCCGCGUGAAGGAUGAAGUAUUUCGGUAUGUAAACUUCGAAAGAAUAGGAAGAAUAAAUGACGGUACUAUUUAUAAGGUCCGGCUAACUACGUGCCAGCAGCCGCGGUAAUACGUAGGGACCAAGCGUUGUUCGGAUUUACUGGGCGUAAAGGGCGCGUAGGCGGCAAUUCAAGUCAUCUGUGAAAUCUCCGGGCUUAACUCGGAACGGUCAGAUGAUACUGCUUUGCUAGAGUGCAGAAGGGGCAAUCGGAAUUCUUGGUGUAGCGGUGAAAUGCGUAGAUAUCAAGAGGAACACCUGAGGUGAAGACGGGUUGCUGGGCUGACGCUGACGCUGAGGCGCGAAAGCCAGGGGAGCAAACGGGAUUAGAUACCCCGGUAGUCCCUGAGCGGGCUGGCAAGGCGCAU
RNAcentral lists this ribosomal RNA (447 nucleotides) under uncultured bacterium. Its description in RNAcentral is "bacterial SSU rRNA". It matches the Rfam family "Bacterial small subunit ribosomal RNA", at positions 355 to 825 of the family's 1533-position model. The record is from RNAcentral.